GGGGAAAUGGCGCAGUGGUAGCGCGUCGAGUUUGCAAAAAUCAGUUUCUGAGCCGUUGUAACAACUCUCGAAGGACCGGGGUUCAAUCCCCCGUUUCUCCA
Molecule: non-coding RNA, 101 nt
Organism: Naganishia vaughanmartiniae
Lineage: Eukaryota; Fungi; Basidiomycota; Tremellomycetes; Filobasidiales; Filobasidiaceae
Source: the annotation of a GenBank genome assembly